AAAAUUGAAGGUCUAAUCUGCCCAAUGAUAUUUGAAUGGCCGCGGUAACUUGACCGUGCAAAGGUAGCAUAAUUAUUAGUCUUUUAAUUGAAGGCUUGAAUGAAAGAUUGGAUGAAAAAUAAACUUUAUUAAUAUAAAUUAUUUAAUUUAUCAUUUAAGUAAAAAUUCUUAAAUAUAUAAGUGGGACGAGAAGACCCUAUAGAGUUUUAUUUUUAUUUUUAUUAUUAAAUUCAAGAAUUAUUAUUUUUAUAUUAAAAAUAAAUUUUUUAUUGGGGUGAUAUUAAAAAUUUAUUAACUUUUAAUUAAUAUUUCAUUAAUAUAUGUAUAAUUGAUCCAAAAAAUUUUGAUUAUAAGACUUAAUUACCUUAGGGAUAACAGCGUUAUUAAUCUGAAGAGUUCAAAUCGAUAGAUUUGUUUGCGACCUCGAUGUUGGAUUAAGAAUAAAUUUUGAAGAAGUAUUUAAUAUUAUAGGUCUGUUCGACCUUUAAAUUCUUACG
Molecule: ribosomal RNA, 497 nt
Filed under: Platypleura divisa
Lineage: Eukaryota; Metazoa; Arthropoda; Insecta; Hemiptera; Cicadidae
Description: partial 16S ribosomal RNA
Rfam family: Archaeal large subunit ribosomal RNA (bases 371-497)
Source: RNAcentral